GGUCCCAUAGUCUAAUGGUUCAGGACACUGGCCUUUCACGCCAGAGAUACCGGGUUCGAGUCCCGUUGGGAUCA
This 74-nucleotide transfer RNA is filed under the name Butyrivibrio fibrisolvens. It matches the Rfam family "tRNA". From Rfam's summary of the family: Transfer RNA (tRNA) molecules are approximately 80 nucleotides in length. Their secondary structure includes four short double-helical elements and three loops (D, anti-codon, and T loops). Further hydrogen bonds mediate the characteristic L-shaped molecular structure. tRNAs have two regions of fundamental functional importance: the anti-codon, which is responsible for specific mRNA codon recognition, and the 3' end, to which the tRNAs corresponding amino acid is attached (by aminoacyl-tRNA synthetases). tRNAs cope with the degeneracy of the genetic code in two manners: having more than one tRNA (with a specific anti-codon) for a particular amino acid; and 'wobble' base-pairing, i.e. permitting non-standard base-pairing at the 3rd anti-codon position. Lineage: Bacteria; Bacillati; Bacillota; Clostridia; Lachnospirales; Lachnospiraceae. The record is from Rfam by way of RNAcentral. RNAcentral also lists the same sequence under 1 other name.